This is a long non-coding RNA of Ictalurus punctatus (channel catfish), 1194 nucleotides long. NCBI's taxonomy places the organism in Eukaryota, Metazoa, Chordata, Actinopteri, Siluriformes, Ictaluridae. The record is from Ensembl.
CUCCUCUUACAUGUUUUAAUUGAUCAGCAGUUAUCGGAAAGGUACAUUCAGAAUACAUGGAUUAACCACAACACAAUGAACAGACUGAAUGUUUACACUCCUAGAAAUGAAGUGGACUUAACUGGAAUUAUUUUUUUUUAAAACUAUAUGAGUUGUCACUGCAUAACUAUUCUCCCUUAAAGUCAUUCUGGAUAAAGCAUCCCUUUUAGCUUGUUAAUAAAGAAUGAUAUAUUAUUAGCACAUGAUGUCAGUAGCUGAGUUAAUAAGCUGAGAUUAUUGCUCUCUUUUUUCCCCUCUAGUGCCUCUUUUUCCCAAUCUUUCCAUUCAAUUAAGGUCCAUAAGACAAUUUUAAUUUAGAAGAAGGAUUUUAAAUUCUUUUGGAGGGCCUGAUCUGAGCUUCUAUUGGGUCAGGUCUGGCUUACAGUACAUAUGUUUGACAUCCCUGCUCUAAUACAUCUUGUACACUACUGUACACUUGGAUUGACUAAUUGAAUGAUGUUCUCACUUCUGUGCAGCAUUUAAUGUGAAAAUAAACAUAUACUUAGUUUUAGAUUUGUAUAUUAAUAUGACACAACAAGUUUUACAGUGCAUGAUAUAGACACAGGACUCAAACUAAUCAUGACAUAACAUCUUGAAGGGCUAUUAACCAGUUUGUUUAAAGACAUUUGUGUCAAGUAAAUUAAAUAUCCUCAACGGGAUAUGGGACAUUUGUCAGUCACAUGGUUUCUUUCUGUGAGACUUGCUGCUUCUUGUGUACAUUUAGACUGGCUUGCAUGUGCUUAAUCCUAGAUAUGUGACGCCACCGCAUCUUUUUGAACUCCUGGUCAUGCUUGGAUGGAAGCGCUAACUUCCCUCUUCUGUAUGCAUGAAUUCAUAGAUAUCUUGCUUUGGUUAAGAGAUGCUGACGAUUUCUCCACAUGGGGAAGAAAUGCCAUUUUCCCACCUAAAGAGCAGGGCCGGUUAUGCGCUAUUGGACAUGAGGGAACAGAUAUCUAUGCUAUUUCAGGAUUCAAAAUAUAUUAAGGUAAACACUGUUGCACUACUCUGGAACUCUGCAUUAUUAAGAUACAGUUUUAAAUCCAUCACCAUAAUAUUUAUAAAGACUACCAUGAAGGACUAGUAAUUGUAAUUCCAUCAGUUGCCAUCAAGCAUAAUGAGAGCAAAAUUAAUUAACACAAAAUGAACAAACACUAU